This 496-nucleotide ribosomal RNA is filed under the name uncultured bacterium. Its description in RNAcentral is "partial 16S ribosomal RNA". It matches the Rfam family "Bacterial small subunit ribosomal RNA", at positions 28 to 507 of the family's 1533-position model. The record is from RNAcentral.
GAUGAACGCUGGCGGCGUGCCUAAUACAUGCAAGUCGAGCGAACAGACGAGGAGCUUGCUCCUUCGACGUUGCGGCGGACGGGUGAGUAACACGUAGGUAACCUACCUAUAAGACUGGGAUAACUUCGGGAAACCGGAGCUAAUACCGGAUAAUAUUUCGAACCGCAUGGUUCGAUAGUGAAAGAUGGCUUUGCUAUCACUUAUAGAUGGACCUGCGCCGUAUUAGCUAGUUGGUAAGGUAACGGCUUACCAAGGCAACGAUACGUAGCCGACCUGAGAGGGUGAUCGGCCACACUGGAACUGAGACACGGUCCAGACUCCUACGGGAGGCAGCAGUAGGGAAUCUUCCGCAAUGGGCGAAAGCCUGACGGAGCAACGCCGCGUGAGUGAUGAAGGUCUUCGGAUCGUAAAACUCUGUUAUUAGGGAAGAACAAACGUGUAAGUAACUGUGCACGUCUUGACGGUACCUAAUCAGAAAGCCACGGCUAACUACGUG